AUUAUUUCUUGUUUGUUUUCACAAAAAGUUGAAAACCUAAUCCUAGACUUCAUAGGCAGGGAACCUAGACUCAAAUGGCUCAACAAGAUCCAAAAACAAACAAGCCAUUCCUCCAAUUCCUUCAAACAAAGAAAAUGGAUGAUCACCUUUAUGCAUAACACCUUCACAUAUCAAAGUAUGAGCUCUAUCAUGUAGAAAACAAGCAAAUGCUUUUGCUUUGUAUAAAUACUCCUCUUCCCUUGUUAGUUUGUAUAGUGAUAGAAAAACAUAAGCAUUCCCACUUAUUCCAUGACAAAUCCCGACUCGUUUGAGUAAACCUCGUCUCCAUACUACCUCCCCUGCUUCUCUAGCUGCUUCGAGAAACUCAUCAUCACCAAAAACCUUAGCUGCUUUUGCAAGGGUGAGUGCAACACCAGCAGCACCAUGACACCAAUGGACGCGAACAUCUGAUUCAUCUCCUUCACUCGUACGAUAAUUUCCACUCGAAAAUCGAUUCUUGAUCAUGUACCUUAAUGUUCCUUUAACAUCUUCAAUUUCAUCUUGUUUCAGUUCCAUGUCUAGUAAAACAUUCAUAACACCAGCUAUUCCAUGGGCAGCUCCCCAGUACUUUUCCCCCCUCGAUUCGUACAUUAAAGGAGACUUAAAAU
This 647-nucleotide unclassified non-coding RNA is filed under the name Hevea brasiliensis (rubber tree). The record is from RNAcentral. Lineage: Eukaryota; Viridiplantae; Streptophyta; Magnoliopsida; Malpighiales; Euphorbiaceae.